AUUGAACGCUGGCGGCAUGCCUUACACAUGCAAGUCGAACGGCAGCACGGGAGCAAUCCUGGUGGCGAGUGGCGAACGGGUGAGUAAUACAUCGGAACGUGCCCAAUCGUGGGGGAUAACGCAGCGAAAGCUGUGCUAAUACCGCAUACGAUCUACGGAUGAAAGCAGGGGAUCGCAAGACCUUGCGCGAAUGGAGCGGCCGAUGGCAGAUUAGGUAGUUGGUGAGGUAAAGGCUCACCAAGCCGUCGAUCUGUAGCUGGUCUGAGAGGACGACCAGCCACACUGGGACUGAGACACGGCCCAGACUCCUACGGGAGGCAGCAGUGGGGAAUUCUGGACAAUGGGCGAAAGCCUGAUCCAGCCAUGCCGCGUGCAGGAUGAAGGCCUUCGGGUUGUAAACUGCUUUUGUACGGAACGAAACGGCCUUUUCUAAUAAAGAGGGCUAAUGACGGUACCGUAAGAAUAAGCACCGGCUAACUACGUGCCAGCAGCCGCGGUAAUACGUAGGGUGCAAGCGUUAAUCGGAAUUACUGGGCGUAAAGCGUGCGCAGGCGGUUAUGUAAGACAGUUGUGAAAUCCCCGGGCUCAACCUGGGAACUGCAUCUGUGACUGCAUAGCUAGAGUACGGUAGAGGGGGAUGGAAUUCCGCGUGUAGCAGUGAAAUGCGUAGAUAUGCGGAGGAACACCGAUGGCGAAGGCAAUCCCCUGGACCUGUACUGACGCUCAUGCACGAAAGCGUGGGGAGCAAACAGG
RNAcentral lists this ribosomal RNA (753 nucleotides) under uncultured Comamonadaceae bacterium. RNAcentral describes it as "bacterial SSU rRNA". It matches the Rfam family "Bacterial small subunit ribosomal RNA", at positions 28 to 776 of the family's 1533-position model. Lineage: Bacteria; Pseudomonadati; Pseudomonadota; Betaproteobacteria; Burkholderiales; Comamonadaceae. The record is from RNAcentral.